AAAAAAAAAAACCCAGAUGGGUACUUCUCAAAGCUUGAAAUCAUCUAAACUGUAGGUGUCAAAGUAACAAUAGUGGUGGGGGUGUAAAAAAGCUCCAACCACUUCUUUCAGGAAUUUUCACUUUUGGAGAAACAAUUGCACAACCCCGGGUAUUAGAGAAUUGAAAGGAAGGUUCACGUUCAUUCAGCAUCUCUCUUUAGAACAACAAGUGAAUGGAAAAGCAACAUUAAAUGAGCUAUAGAGGAGAAACAUAAGUGGCCUUGAAUAUAAUCUGCAUAACUGGACCAAACAAUGAAAUGAACUAGAUAUACUUUUGUAACCCAUACCAUGAGAAAUGAUUAUUGUGAGCACCCAAUAGAAA
RNAcentral lists this unclassified non-coding RNA (361 nucleotides) under Hevea brasiliensis (rubber tree). Lineage: Eukaryota; Viridiplantae; Streptophyta; Magnoliopsida; Malpighiales; Euphorbiaceae. The record is from RNAcentral.